Pelobates cultripes (western spadefoot toad) is the source of this 287-nucleotide non-coding RNA. The record is from the annotation of a GenBank genome assembly. Lineage: Eukaryota; Metazoa; Chordata; Amphibia; Anura; Pelobatidae.
GAUUAGUAGGAUAUAUGUGAUGUUUGUUACCAUGGACAUUUUUCAUAAAGAGACAUUUAGGCGAUAUGCCUUGGAGCCCAUGUAACUUGAUUGCAAUUGGGACUAUUGAAGCAGAUACCACGCCCACAUAGACGGGUAUAUGUUCUGAGAGACGGCAACCAUUCGAACGUGAUUUGAGGAAGCCGCCAAGGCGAAACGCGUCAUCACGUUUUUUGGACGUACAACGUCAUUACGUGUCAGUAGCACCUCCUACUCCCGGAAGCAUCUAUCCACUGAAAGACCGCAAG